CUACGGGGGGCAGCAGUGAGGAAUAUUGCACAAUGGGGGGAACCCUGAUGCAGCAACGCCGCGUGGAGGAUGACGCAUUUCGGUGUGUAAACUCCUUUUAUAUGUCAAGAAAAUGACGGUAGCAUAUGAAUAAGCACCGGCUAACUCCGUGCCAGCAGCCGCGGUAAUACGGAGGGUGCAAGCGUUACUCGGAAUCACUGGGCGUAAAGGACGCGUAGGCGGGUUUGUAAGUCAGGUGUGAAAUCCUACAGCUUAACUGUAGAACUGCACUUGAAACUACGAGUCUAGAGUAUGGGAGGGGGAGAUGGAAUUAGUGGUGUAGGGGUAAAAUCCGUAGAUAUCACUAGGAAUACCUAAAGCGAAGGCGAUCUCCUGGAACAUAACUGACGCUAAGGCGUGAAAGCGUGGGGAGCAAACAGGAUUAGAUACCCCAGUAGUC
This 439-nucleotide ribosomal RNA is filed under the name uncultured bacterium. Its description in RNAcentral is "partial 16S ribosomal RNA". It matches the Rfam family "Bacterial small subunit ribosomal RNA", at positions 339 to 795 of the family's 1533-position model. The record is from RNAcentral.